Molecule: ribosomal RNA, 305 nt
Filed under: uncultured bacterium
Lineage: Bacteria
Description: bacterial SSU rRNA
Rfam family: Bacterial small subunit ribosomal RNA
Source: RNAcentral
UGAUCCUACGGGGGGCAGCAGUGAGGAAUAUUGGUCAAUGGUCGGGAGACUGAACCAGCCAAGCCGCGUGAGGGAUGAAGGUACAGAGUAUCGUAAACCUCUUUUGUCAGGGAACAAAGGCGGGGACGUGUCCCCGGAUGAGUGUACCUGAAGAAAAAGCAUCGGCUAACUCCGUGCCAGCAGCCGCGGUAAUACGGAGGAUGCGAGCGUUAUCCGGAUUUAUUGGGUUUAAAGGUUGCGCCGUCUGUCUGUUAAGUCAGCGGUCAAAGCCCGGGGCUCAACCCCGGCCCGCCUUUGAAACUUGC